GAUGAACUGUGGGUAGCGGAGAAAUUCCAAUCGAACCCGGAGAUAGCUGGUUCUCCCCGAAAUAGUUUUAGGACUAGCCUCAAGUUAGAUACCUGGAGGUAAAGCACUGAAUAGCCUAGCGGCCGAGAGGUUAGCGAAGCUUAUCAAACUCAGAAUGCCAGAGUAUUGAUGCUUGGGAGUCAGACAGUGUCAGAUAAAUGUCAUUGUCAAAAGGGAAACAGCCCAGAUCUACAGCUAAGGUCCCAAAGUCAGGUUAAGUGGAAAACGAUGUGAAGAUACGUAGACAACCAGGAUGUUGGCUCAGAAGCAGCCACACAUUCAAAGAGUGCGUAAUAGCUCACUGGUCGAGCGUCUUUGCGCGGAGAAUUUAACGGGGCUAAACCUGACACCGAAGCUUAGGCAAUACAGCAAUGUAUUGGGUAGGGGAGCGUUGUAUACGCGGUGAAACAGUAGCGCAAGCGGCUGUGGAGUGUAUAGAAGUGAGAAUGCCGGAAUGAGUAGCGCGAAUGCAGUGAGAAUCUGCAUGGCCGAAAGCCUCAGGUUUUUGGAGGAAGGUUCGUCCGCUCCAAGUUAGUCGGGAGCUAAGGUGAGGCCGGAAGGCGUAGCCGAUGCACAGACGGUAGAGAUUCCGUCACCACCAAAAGAGUUAAGCACAGGGACACAUUUGAAGUCUCAGAGCCGGGUGUUGGUUCCGGUAGAGAUCGAGGGAAAUUAGUACCGAAGUCUGAGAUGGAAGAUGGCGAGAAAAGCUGUGUGUAUUUCUGAGGUGCCCGUACCGCAAACCGACACAGGUAGGUAGGAAGAAGAUUCUAAGGCCAACGGGAGAAGGGUUGUUAAGGAACUCGGCAAAUUGACCCCGUAACUUCGGGAGAAGGGGUGCUCCAGAGAUGGAGCCGCAGAGAAUCGGCCCAAGCAACUGUUUACCAAAAACACAGGUUUGUGCUAAAUCGAAAGAUGACGUAUACGAGCUGACGCCUGCCCGGUGCUGGAAGGUUAAGAGGAGAUGUGCAAGCAUUGAAUCGAAGCCCCAGUGAACGGCGGCCGUAACUAUAACGGUCCUAAGGUAGCGAAAUUCCUUGUCAGGUAAGUUCUGACCCGCAUGAAAGGCGUAAUGAUUUGGGCACUGUCUCAACAGCCCGCCCGGCGAAAUUGUAGUACCGGUGAAGAUGCCGGUUACCCGCGACAAGACGGAAAGACCCCAUGGAGCUUUACUGUAGCCUAAUAUUGGGUUUCGAUGUUGCAUGCACAGGAUAGAUGGGACACAGGGAAACAAGUGCUUUGGCAUUUGUGGAGUGGCCGUUGGGAUACCAUCCUUGCGAUAUUGGAAUUCUAACCUGCGCCUUUGAAUCAAGGCGGGGGACAUUGUUAGGUGGGCAGUUUGACUGGGGCGGUCGCCUCCUAAAGAGUAACGGAGGCGUUCAAAGGUUCGCUCAGCUUGAACGGAAAUCAAGCAAAAGAGUGCAAACGCAGAAGCGAGCCUAACUGCGAGACUGACGGGUCGAGCAGUAACGAAAGUUGGAGUUAGUGAUCCGGUGGUAUGUGAGUGGAAAUGCCA
This 1555-nucleotide ribosomal RNA is filed under the name human gut metagenome. Its description in RNAcentral is "bacterial LSU rRNA". It matches the Rfam family "Bacterial large subunit ribosomal RNA", at positions 803 to 2444 of the family's 2925-position model. The record is from RNAcentral.